This 236-nucleotide unclassified non-coding RNA is filed under the name Paraglomerales sp. RNAcentral describes it as "partial contains 5.8S ribosomal RNA and internal transcribed spacer 2". The stretch from base 1 to 65 matches the Rfam family "5.8S ribosomal RNA", at positions 84 to 154 of the family's 154-position model. The record is from RNAcentral. Lineage: Eukaryota; Fungi; Glomeromycota; Glomeromycetes; Paraglomerales.
GUGAAUCAUCGAAUUUUUGAACGCAAAUUGCGCCUUUUUCGGAAGGCAUGUCUGUUUGUGGGCACCAUUUAACAAAUAAUGUGCAUUUCGUGUGCACACGUUGAUGAGCUUUCCAAAUUUAUGUAUUAUUAUUUUUUGUGGCGCAUAAUAAACAGCGCGAUGCUUUUUUUUAGUUCUAGUGUAGUAAAAUUUUUACUUGUUUUGUGAAAAAACAUAAUCGCGCAAUGGUUGUGGCU